This 319-nucleotide ribosomal RNA is filed under the name uncultured eukaryote. Its description in RNAcentral is "partial 18S ribosomal RNA". It matches the Rfam family "Eukaryotic small subunit ribosomal RNA", at positions 1470 to 1796 of the family's 1831-position model. The record is from RNAcentral.
CCCUUAGAUGUUCUGGGCAGCACGCGCGCUACAAUGGUCUUCGCAAACGGAUGCAUUCUCGAAGGAGAAGGCCAAUCUUGGAAUCUAUGCCUUGGUCGGGACAGUUGCUUGCAAUUUUUCGACUCGAACCAGGAAUUCCUUGUAAUCGUGAUUCAUCACAUCACGAUGAAUACGUCCCUGCCCUUUGUACACACCGCCCGUCGCUCCUACCGAUCGAAGAGUUAGGUGAAUUGUUUUGAUCGAUAAGAUUUGACUAUGGUCAACUCUCGUUGUGAAAUUCUGUGAAUCUGACUGUUUAGAGGAAGGAAAAGUCGUAACA